AAUCCCGACAAUAUGUAGGGGCGGUAAGGCGACAUCCCUUGCGUGACCCACCGCGGAGUAGUCACAGCGCCACCAUGUGGCAGCAGGCAAAACAUCGCCUGCCUGCCUCGUGUGUGGAAACGCGACUCUCCACGCCUCUUCAGGUCACACACACAGAGUGUGGGUGGUCGGCGACAGUUUUAUUCGUCGAGCUAAAGAUCGACCCUUAGCUACACAAUCGGCUACUCUGGGCACCACCAGUGCAGCGGUCCACUGGUUUGCUAGAGAGGGGGGGCACUGCUGCAUGACUUGCCAAAAGACUUGAAGAGGCUGCUACAGGCACACCUACCCCCAUCAUUGCUAAUCGUGCACCCAGGGUCGAAUGGCAUGGGACGAUGCGAAACAAAAUGCUGUCGUGAUGCAAUAGUUACUUGCAUAUCCGUAAUUCGGCACUGCCAGCUAAAGUGCUACGUAACUUGGUCCUGUAUUCUACCCAUACCCAGAAUGAUGUACCGCAGCUGGUUGAAGGAAAGCUCAUCACAGAAAGCUCUGGAGAGGGUUAGGAAAUCCUUGAAUUCCUGAGCCAGACGUCGGUUGAACAAACUGGAGAACACAUCAGCCAUAUUCCACCCACAGAUAACAGUAUCAUGCCCCCGGCUAUUCCAUAAAGAUGGAUUCAUCUGUCUAAUGAGGAGUCCAAUAUCUUCAUUCAAGACUUUGUAGCUGCACUGCAGGCGGCAAAUGCUGAGUCCAGCAACACACACAUUUCAUAGAUUUGAGAAUCUUACGUACAAUAUGCCUGCAGGACAGCACAGUCGCUGGACCGAAAGGGAUGUGAAUGGUACAACAUAAUUCACAUUGUCUCCGUGUGGGCACAGAUUGGUGUCCCAGAAGACGAUUGAGUAGCCAACGGCGCUAGUCAUGCUCACAGAGGCACUUUCUUAAGAUAUGUAAGAUCAUGAAGUCAUUGUUAACUUGUAGUAGAUGUAGUUAUGUCCCUAACUUAAAUGUGUCAGUUGGUAACGGAGCUGGUAUACUAAAUGUCAUGGAAAUUGUGCCGCUCUUUGGAAAUCAUUGUUAAAUUAUAGUGAAUAUAGGGAAGUGCCUAAUUUACGGUGUCAGUUGGUUACAAAAAAUGGUAAACUAAGUGUUAUGGCAUGAGCGCCACUCUUGGGUCAACUGUCAUUGUUUUAGCUGGUCUUGAGUUCACGAACAAUUGUUGGCACAAUUUGUGCCCCUGGAAUCAAGGGGUUGAGACGAUACUUAAUAAACUAGCACCACAAGAGAACCAACGAACAAAUGUCACAAGGUAGAAAUAUGGAUGGCUUCAAACCUUAUUAUAAUUGCUAGCGGAGUGUACGUAUUAUUAGUAAAGCAGAACAAGCCAUGUUUAGUUGUUAAUAACAAGCUACAGAUCUGGUGCCAUUCGAUCUAUUUGGAGAGAUUACAUUGAUAACGAGGUAACGAGCUGCCAUAGUAAUUUGCAACAUUGCACCCAGGUGCUACGACUGAACCUUGUUUGAAUAAGGUCGGUCUUCGUGGCCACACUUGGUUGGGUGUGCACCGUUGCUGAAGCAACACACACACGCACAACCACAAAAAAGUCGUGGGUUGUAUGGCCCAGGCCCUGGGAGGAGAGGUGGAAUUGCUUAUCUUGAGGGGGUGGGGUCGGCACAAACGGACGAGCGAUCUAUCGCCGAGGGUUCUGGCUCACGCCAACAUUCAUGCUUUGUGGUUUGGAUCAGGGCCAUUCUCUCCUCCAGGGGCUCUUGUAUUGUUCUAGUUGAUCCGGUUGCGGAUGAAUACAUAUACAGCAGUUGUCAUUAUGCAAUCAACCUUGUUGCUAGCAUUACAAAAAGAUGAUAUCUAACUAUUAAAGCAAAUUGAGAAAAUUGCAUUACAUGGUGUAAAAGUCAA
RNAcentral lists this long non-coding RNA (1896 nucleotides) under Acanthaster planci (crown-of-thorns starfish). RNAcentral's name for it is "uncharacterized LOC110988739". The record is from RNAcentral. Lineage: Eukaryota; Metazoa; Echinodermata; Asteroidea; Valvatida; Acanthasteridae.